Prunus avium (sweet cherry) is the source of this 440-nucleotide non-coding RNA. Lineage: Eukaryota; Viridiplantae; Streptophyta; Magnoliopsida; Rosales; Rosaceae. The record is from RefSeq and is a predicted model, not a curated record.
CUGUACAUGAGGAAAAAGAUAAAACAUUUGAUGAGGACACAUAUCCAGCUGGACCUUCAUCAUUUUACAAGAGCACAAAUUGGGCUUUAAGCAGCACUGGUUACUUUCCUGAUGAUGACCAUACUCAAGACAUCUUUAUCCAAAAUAAAGAAUCUAGACUCUCCAUGCCCAAUCCACAACUGUACACGGAAGCACGCCUUUCUCCCAUCUCUCUAACUUAUUACACUGUAAAGCUCCAUUUUGCAGAGACAGAGUUUGAAAAUGGCAAAACAUAUAAAAGCCUGGGAAGGCGUAUAUUUGAUGUUUACAUUCAGGGGAGACUAGUGCAGAAGGAUUUCAAUAUUGUCGAUAAAGCUGGUGGGAUUAGUACUGCAGUCAUAAUGAACUAUACUGCUGCUGUAACUAGUGGUACCUUGGAGAUCCGUUUCUAUUGGGCUGGG